Molecule: long non-coding RNA, 4184 nt
Organism: Manis pentadactyla (Chinese pangolin)
Lineage: Eukaryota; Metazoa; Chordata; Mammalia; Pholidota; Manidae
Exons: 2
Source: RefSeq, a predicted model, not a curated record
UAUGCAUUUUGUUUAUCCAUUCAUCUGUUGGUAGAUACUUAGAUUUCUUUCAUUUUUUGGCAGUUGUGAUUAGUAGGGGUUUUUAAGAAUUCUAUCUAAAAAGCUAUAUAUGAUUAUUUAGUUGAAUGUUCUAAUGGGGCAAAUAAAGGAGGGAAGGGAGGUAGGAAUAUAUAUUGUAUAUAUAUUUUAUAAUUUUGGUUUCUUUAUUGUACACAGGAAUGUGUGAGGCCAUUUUUCUCCUACUUUUGUCAUUUGAUAGACUGCUUACCUUGAACAUUCCAUAUGAAAAGCAGUGUUGCAGUAAAUAUUAUAAUGCGUAGUAAGAGAAAAAUGGAGUUCCUAAUAUGCACAUUUGACAUUCUGAUGGGGUGGGCCCAUUCUAAACUCAUUUGCGUUUUUACCUCUUAAGUGUAUGGUAAUGUGAUAUAAUUAGUUAAGAAGAACUAGAGGGAUACUGAACAAUUUGAAUUGUUCGAUUCACAUUAUCAUUAAGUAAUUUGUAUAUAAGCCAUUCAUUUGAAAAAAAUUAUUUUUGAAAAGGCUAAAUCCAAGAGAUUACUAUAGAAAUGUAAAAGAACAGCAUAAACUAUUUUGCUGUAUUAAAAUAUAGUAGAACAUUAUUCUGUAAUUUGUUAGUCAUGAUUCAGUAAGUGGCUCUGUGACCUUUUCUUUAAGGUAUCAACUCUGAGUUAGAGUAAGUGAGAAUCAACUCAGGAUUCUCCAGGUCUGUAAUAUUGUGUUUUAGAAAGAACUAACAGGGAAAAAAUGGGAAGUUUCAACAACCAAAGUGAUCUUUUUUAACAAACACCUAAAUAAGGCUUUUAUAUUACUCUUGAUCUUCUGUGUUUCUUAGAGAUUUUGUGUGCAAAGAUUUUAUUUUAUACUCUCAGCUGAAAGCUUAAAGCACAUCAGAUUACCCUUAUUAUUAUUUUUUAAAAAGGGUGUUAAAUAUGAGAAUUUCCAAUGAAAUCCCUGUUAUUUCAUUUUAUUAUGAAAGGCAGGUGAGAAUCUUUCUGAUAUUUAAAAAUUGAAGUAAUUUUUUUCCUUAUUAAAAACAUUUUUCUUGUCAGUUCUGUUUAGAAGCAGAAUGGAAACUUGUUCUCAUUUGUACAUAUUUGGCUUGCCCUUUGACUUAACCAGUGGUUGAGUCAUGGACAAAGUAACUUUGUGUACGUAUUUUAAAAGGCAGAUGUCAAGUAAUUACCUUAUAAAGAGUCCCAUUAUAAUUAGAUGUGUGCAUCACGGUUUACUCAUGAACAAAAUGUCAUUUAUAUAAUUUCAUACUUUAAAAGCCACAUGCUUGAGCAGAGCCUAUAUUUCUGCAUUUAAGAAAUGAAAUGGCCUUUUACAAAUUUUAUGUAAAAACAUGUGUAACAACUCUUUUUUUCCAUAGCUCUUCUUUUGGAAUGAUAGCCAUGCUUCCAAUAGAGUGACAGAUUAACUUUUGAUAAUUUCAACAUUAUUGGUAUUUUUUUUGAAUUUAUGCUUACACUUGUUCAUUUGACUUCUCUUUACUUAGGGAUUUUUAACAUUUAAAACAAAAGAGACUGAAGGGAAAGUAGAAAUAGAACAGAUGUUCAGUUUAGCAAUUAAAAAAGAUCUGUACUUGCUGAGAACAGUUUUUUAAAUCAGACCAGCAUUUAGUUACUCUUUGAUUUUUCAUUUGUGGUGUUCAUGCUGUCAUUUUAAAGCUAUCUAAAGACAAAUGCCAAUGGAGAAAAGACGUUGAUGACUGAGACUCCUUCCACAAAUACAAGGCAAGUAUUAUAGGUACAUGGGAGAGUCCCAGAGUAUUUUUGAGUUUGUCCAGAUGCCCCACGAAAUGCUAUGUACCUUGAUUCUGGUUUGCUGGACACCACUGGCAGUAUUAGUAUGUUGCUUCAUCAUAGCAUUUCAGUCUCUGCCUGUUUGCACAUGAACUCUCAGUACCUGAAACUCCUUUCUCACUCCUUUCCACCCAUCUACCUCCAGUGCCUCCAAAGCUUAACCCUCAGAUUCUUCAGUGGCCAGCUUCUUGAUAAAUUUGUCCCAUGUGGACUCUUUUUUACUUUAUAUUCAUUAUAUAUUUAAUCUUUACUCUAUGAUCAUUUGAAAUAUUUUGAAAUCAUGGAAUAACUACUUGUAUGUCUUUUUCAUUUGCAUUGUACAGCACUUAUUGUAGAGAAUGGCUUCCUAACAUGUAUUUUUUGAUAUAAUGCAUUACAUAGACAAGAUACUCAAGAAAUUCAAAACAAAUAGGCAUGAACUGUUUAAGUCAGUCAGUGUAGCUAAUGAAAACUCAAAUUUAGCUUCUUUUGUUUGAAUAUUGUAUGAAAAGUCACACUUCAAAGACAACCAAAGAAAGAUUGCUAUAGAAAGAAAAAAUGUCAAGUCUUUUAAAAGUGAUGUAUUACAUGAAAGCUCUAGAAAACCUAGCAUUUGCUUUGAACCAUUAACCUACCUGGUGAAUAUAAGAAUAAAAAUUCUAAAGUGAAUAUUGAUAUUAUAUCUUUAGCUUAUGUUCCCCAUUGUCUAGAAUGAUAUGCAGUAACUGGGCAUGGAGCAGGGAGGGGAAGUUCAUAAAGCUCCUGCAGCAGAUGUUCCCAGAUCAUACACCCAGGACCCUUGUCAUUUAAUUACUCCUAGAGUUCUUUGUAUUCAUGAACCCUACUUAACAUAUGUGACAUUAUGGCAAUUACCAUGUAACAAUAUCAUUGUGAAUUAAUGCCAUUUUGAUUAAAGGCAAAUUCAUUUAAAAGUUCUACUGAAUUCAUAAAAGCUUGACCAGUAGCACUAGAAACACCGCUACUGUCCACAUGACAGUCAGUGUUUUGAUGCUGAAAGGGAGUGCUGAUGCCCUAAAGUCUGUGCAGCACUGCUGGAGUCCAGUUGCCUAAUAAUAAAGAUGAGGUAUUUGGGACCAAGGAAUGUCAGAUUUAAGACUAGAGCACAGUGCUGGUGUUCUAUGGCCCUGUAAUCAUAGUGCUUCUCUAUAGAGCUAUAGAUAUAACAAAGGGUAAUGGAAUUUGUGAGAGUGGGUGGUAUAAAGAGAGCAAUAACCCUUUCAUUGAUUACUCUCAAUAAUUUGAAGUGGCCUUUUUUUCACCAUUAGGAGAUGAGAGGCAAGGAAUUACCUGAUUAAUGAUGAUAAUGUUAUAUGCUACUUAUGAAAAUGGCUUAAUCUAUUAUGCUGUUAAUUUUUGACCCCUUAGAAACUCAUCAAUAAUAGCAAGUCAUUUUGAUAGUACUUUAAAGCUUUUUGAAAUCACUUUUAUAAUUAUAAUUUUAUAUCUUUAUAAAGCCUGGGAAAUAAUUAGGGAAGGUUUGGUGAGCCCCAUUUAAGGCCUGGGAAUAUUAAUGCACAGAGAAAUUAAGUGAGUGACUUGUGAUCAUGGACUUCUUAUUCUUUGAAUCUAGGACUCCUAACCCUCAGUUUUAUUUUAUGCCCAUUAUCUCAGUUUUAACUUUGUGGUCUUUGCUUUUCUAUGUUCCUUUAGAGAGGGAGCAGAUUUACAGGGAAAAAGGUUAAAAUGCUAGGCAGUCGAUUUGGCAUUUUGCUACCAUUUUUUGAAAAGAAUCAGUUUGGUGAAAGUAUUGAAAUUGGUGACUUAAAUAACAUCUAAGAGUUAGGUGUGCUGCAUUUUUUGUCAGUGAUUUGAAAUACUUGGCAUUACAAUAACUGCUGAAUAAGUGACUUUCUGUUUCUGAUCAUAAGACUAGUAGUUCAGUGGUAAGUCUUGUCAUGUAAGUUGGAAAAAGAAGAUAUAAACGUGGUUUCUUGCACACUGUGUGUAUAAGUGAUAUAAGAAUAAACAAGAGUAGAAAAAGUUCAGUCAUGCAUUCACUCUGCAGAAGGUGGGCCAAGCCAGUGAGUUCAACUAGGGAGCAAGAAGAAAGUUGUAAUGAGAAAAGUGAUUUAAAUAGCAACGAUUUAAACCCUGUCUAUAGCCAGCUAAAUGAAUUACAAUAAAGUCCAGAAUACCAUGAAUUGGAGUAAGGAAACAUCAUGUAAUGGAAAAGGGAGCUCAGCUGUAGGCCUGGCCCUCUUAAUGUUGUGGUCCCUUUGUAGUUGAGUCCUUGAAAAAUCUAAGGUAAAUGCUCUUCUACAAUAUGUGUUUGUAGUUUAGUUGAAGAGGUCUUUAAAGCAAAUGAAAUGCAGAAUAUAUGGCUAAUAUUAUUUAUGAGUACCUUGGUAAAAUAUCUUU